Oxyura jamaicensis (ruddy duck) is the source of this 195-nucleotide long non-coding RNA. RefSeq lists it as uncharacterized. Lineage: Eukaryota; Metazoa; Chordata; Aves; Anseriformes; Anatidae. The transcript has 3 exons. The record is from RefSeq and is a predicted model, not a curated record.
ACAAAACCGUAGAUGGGCCUGGAGCACAAGUCCUAUGAGGAGCGGCUGAGGGAGCAGGGGUUAUUUAGUCUGGAGAACAAGAGGCUCAGGGGAGAUCUUAUUGCUCUCUACAAUUACCUAAAAGGAAGCUGUUGGGAGCUGGGGGUCGGCCUCUAACCACACGUAACUAGCGAUAGGACAAGAGGGAAUGGCCUC